GACGAACGCUGGCGGCGUGCUUAACACAUGCGAGUCGAACGGAAAGGCCUGCUUUCCCUUGUGGAUUGCGGGUACUCGAGUGGCGAACGGGUGAGUAACACGUGAGUGAUCUGCCCCCAACUUGGGUAUAAGCCUGGGAAACUGGGUCUAAUUCCCGAUAGGACUGCAGGGUGGUGCCUGUGGUGGAAAACGAUUUUCUAGUGGUUGGGGAUGAGCUCGCGGCCUAUCAGCUUGUUGGUGGGGUAAUGGCCUACCAAGGCGGCGACGGGUAGCCGGCCUGAGAGGGUGGACGGCCACAUUGGGACUGAGAUACGGCCCAGACUCCUGCGGGAGGCAGCAGUGGGGAAUAUUGCACAAUGGGCGGAAGCCUGAUGCAGCGACGCCGCGUGGGGGAUGACGGCCUUCGGGUUGUAAACUCCUUUCGACCGCGAGGAAGCCACCUGGUUGGAAGGGUGGUGACGGUAGUGGUAGAAGAAGCACCGGCUAACUACGU
Molecule: ribosomal RNA, 493 nt
Filed under: uncultured bacterium
Lineage: Bacteria
Description: partial 16S ribosomal RNA
Rfam family: Bacterial small subunit ribosomal RNA
Source: RNAcentral